Molecule: ribosomal RNA, 490 nt
Filed under: uncultured Enterobacter sp.
Lineage: Bacteria; Pseudomonadati; Pseudomonadota; Gammaproteobacteria; Enterobacterales; Enterobacteriaceae
Description: bacterial SSU rRNA
Rfam family: Bacterial small subunit ribosomal RNA
Source: RNAcentral
UUGGUGCCUUCGGGAACUCUGAGACAGGUGCUGCAUGGCUGUCGUCAGCUCGUGUUGUGAAAUGUUGGGUUAAGUCCCGCAACGAGCGCAACCCUUAUCCUUUGUUGCCAGCGGUCCGGCCGGGAACUCAAAGGAGACUGCCAGUGAUAAACUGGAGGAAGGUGGGGAUGACGUCAAGUCAUCAUGGCCCUUACGAGUAGGGCUACACACGUGCUACAAUGGCGCAUACAAAGAGAAGCGAACUCGCGAGAGCAGGCGGACCUCAUAAAGUGCGUCGUAGUCCGGAUUGGAGUCUGCAACUCGACUCCAUGAAGUCGGAAUCGCUAGUAAUCGUAGAUCAGAAUGCUACGGUGAAUACGUUCCCGGGCCUUGUACACACCGCCCGUCACACCAUGGGAGUGGGUUGCAAAAGAAGUAGGUAGCUUAACCUUCGGGAGGGCGCUUACCACUUUGUGAUUCAUGACUGGGGUGAAGUCGUAACAAGGUAGCC